GGCGAACGGGUGAGUAACGCGUGGGUAACCUGCCCCUGAAUCUGGUAUAACUUCGCGAAAGCGAGGCUAAUACCGGAUAUUGUCCCAGGGACUGUGGUCCUUGUGAUGAAAGAUGACCUCUUCACGAAAGUUGUCGUUCAGGGAGGGGCCCGCGUACCAUUAGCUAGUUGGUAGGGUAAUGGCCUACCAAGGCGAUGAUGGUUAGCUGGUCUGAGAGGAUGACCAGCCACACUGGCGCUGAAACACGGGCCAGACUCCUACGGGAGGCAGCAGUGAGGAAUUUUGCGCAAUAGGGGAAACCCUGACGCAGCAACGCCGCGUGAGUGAAGAAGGCCCUCGGGUCGUAAAGCUCUGUCAAGUGGGAAAAAAGCUUACUGGUGAAUAGCCAGCAAGACUGAUGGUACCAUUGAAGGAAGCACCGGCUAACUCCGUGCCAGCAGCCGCGGUAAUACGGAGGUGGCAAGCGUUGUUCGGAGUUACUGGGCGUAAAGGGCGCGUAGGCGGCUUGGCAAGUCAGAUGUGAAAGCCCCGGGCUUAACCUGGGAGUUGCAUCUGAAACUGCCUUGCUUGAGUCCUGAGGGGGUAGUGGAAUUCCCAGUGUAGCGGUGAAAUGCGUAGAUAUUGGGAGGAACACCUGCGGCGAAGGCGGCUACCUGGACAGUGGCUGACGCUGAGGCGCGAAAGCUAGGGGAGCAAACGGGAUUAGAUACCCCGGUAGUCCUAGCCGUAAACGAUGGGCACUUGGUGUUGGGGGUAUUGAGUCCCCGGUGCCUGUAGUUAACAUAUUAAGUGCCCGCCUGGAGAGUACGGUCGCAAGCAC
RNAcentral lists this ribosomal RNA (820 nucleotides) under uncultured bacterium. RNAcentral's name for it is "bacterial SSU rRNA". It matches the Rfam family "Bacterial small subunit ribosomal RNA", at positions 97 to 895 of the family's 1533-position model. The record is from RNAcentral.